This 253-nucleotide ribosomal RNA is filed under the name uncultured bacterium. RNAcentral's name for it is "partial 16S ribosomal RNA". It matches the Rfam family "Bacterial small subunit ribosomal RNA", at positions 524 to 776 of the family's 1533-position model. The record is from RNAcentral.
UACGUAGGCAGCGAGCGUUGUUCGGAGUUACUGGGCGUAAAGAGUGCGUAGGCGGUUUUCUAAGUUUGGUGUGAAAUCUCCCGGCUCAACUGGGAGGGUGCGCCGAAGACUGGAAGGCUUGAGUAUGGGAGAGGUAAGCGGAAUUCCUGGUGUAGCGGUGAAAUGCGUAGAUAUCAGGAAGAACACCUAUGGCGAAGGCAGCUCUCUGGGACGGUACUGACGCUGAGACGCGAAAGCGUGGGGAGCGAACAGG